This 216-nucleotide long non-coding RNA is filed under the name Musa acuminata (dwarf banana). RNAcentral's name for it is "long non-coding RNA (MACU_LNC009599)". Lineage: Eukaryota; Viridiplantae; Streptophyta; Magnoliopsida; Zingiberales; Musaceae. The record is from RNAcentral.
GAUAGCUUAUCUGUCACUAUAAUGUGUAAAUUGGGUUGAGGCAGUGGAAGACUGGAAGAUUUUGGGGCAAAUAUUUUGUACUUGAUAGGUUGAUGUUGUAUAAGUUCUUUUUGGGUGUAAUGAAAUAUCAAUGACAAAUCUAGAUUGAUGUAUCUUGUAAAUAUUUGAAAAGUACCUAUUACGUCAGGAUUUUGGAAAUGUUAAGUCUAAACUGUG